GGAAUUUGAAUUGGUGUGCAAAGGAUUGUUGGCAAUUGAAAGAUGCAAAGGGUACACCUGAUGCAACCUUGAAAAAAGGUCAAAUAAAGGACGUGAAAGAUCUUCAAAUUGAGACACCCAUCGACAUGGCAGUCGAGAUAUGCAGCCUUACUAGGUCGCAUCUUUCUGAUUGAGAAGCACCCACUGCCUUUUAUGGGCGAGUCAUUGACUCAUUCACUCAACUGAUUAAUUCCACAAUACCAUCAUUGUACUUGUUGUAACUUUUUUGUGGCUUCAAGUCAUUAAAGUAGCCCUGUCAGCAGCCUUGCUUCAUUUAUAUUUACAUAUUGAUUGACAAAGUAUAUGCUUCGAUACUAACCUUUUGGGUUUGAGGUUCCAAUGGGCAACAGCUUCAAGAUAAACUCUGAGUAUGUGUAGCUGUCUAACUUGUUUGAUUUUGCUCGCUUAAGUCUGUUUGUGCUGGCAUACUGAGGAGAGGAGCAGUCUUUUGUAAUGUUACCUCCAGGCUGGUAAGCCUCUCUUAACCCUGUCAUGGAAUGAGAUGCUAAAAAUAGACUCAUCAGUGCUGGAGGCAAGAUUGGGAGAUGAGUGAGGCCCGGUCUGGAGGAGACUCAUUGGAAAGGGUUGUUGAUCUCUUGUUGUGCGGAGGAGGUUUUUAUUAAAAUGUGUUUGUUAGGACUGAAAUGUAUAAGGGGUUUGCCUAAUGGAAAGAGACAUCAUUACAGCAUGGCCUGCUGAUCCAGUGGCUCAGGAACGCUAGAUUUAUGGAUGAGGUCAGAAAACAACCAUAAGUCUACUAUCAGCACUUGGUACAAUCUCAAAGACAAUACAUUCUUUAUGAACUGAACUCUGGAGUCUAUGGAAGGUAUGAAGUUCUCCUGAAGUUCAGGUCCACAGGUGUAGUAUAUCACAUCACUAUGAUUAUGCUUAUUGUGGGGGGGGGGGUCAUACAGGUUUGGAAAGACAUGAGGGUGAGUAAAUGAUGACAGGAUUUUCAUGCCUUUAAGAUUGACUUUUGUGUCCAUAUACUGUACCUUUUGGGGCCCACUGUAUAUACUGUAAGCUAUAUGUGCAGCUGUAUCCUAAAUACGGAGACCAAUGUUUUCUAAUUUAAUGAAGUAAAUUUUACUAUCAGCAUACAAUUUAAGUGAGAAAAAUGAAUAAAAAAAUGUACAUGGAUUUCAGCAUUUCUUAGUAUAUCCUUUUUUCUGAAUGUCACGUGCACUCAAGCCACAUGAUCUAUUAUGUCCUAAUAUGAUUUGAGAAUGUCCCAAAUAGCAUCUUGUGCUUCAUUGUAAGCAAAACCGAUAGUGUACAAAUUAGUUUAAAUGAUCAGUGUCACAAAUUGCUUGCAUAUGAGACUGUUUGUAAGGAAAAUGUAUUUAAAAUAACUUCUGUGAUUAUUUACUUUUAGAUGGACUUUAAACUUUUCUUCUGACUUCAUCUGUAUCUGAAAUAAAGAAUCAUAACUAAAGGCAACUGAAGUCAGACAAAAAUGUGUUUUGUCGCAUUAAAAUUGUUUCAAUAAAAAAACGUCCAUUGCAACAGAGGAGGUCUGUAAACAUUCCCAAAGUUGUUUGUUUGCUCUGGCUCGCUUCUCUCUCA
This is a long non-coding RNA of Cyprinus carpio carpio, 1605 nucleotides long. The record is from Ensembl. Lineage: Eukaryota; Metazoa; Chordata; Actinopteri; Cypriniformes; Cyprinidae.